RNAcentral lists this transfer RNA (76 nucleotides) under Pseudomonas sp. CFBP 8771. RNAcentral's name for it is "tRNA-Ala". It matches the Rfam family "tRNA". Rfam says of the family: Transfer RNA (tRNA) molecules are approximately 80 nucleotides in length. Lineage: Bacteria; Pseudomonadati; Pseudomonadota; Gammaproteobacteria; Pseudomonadales; Pseudomonadaceae. The record is from RNAcentral.
GGGGCCAUAGCUCAGCUGGGAGAGCGCCUGCCUUGCACGCAGGAGGUCAGCGGUUCGAUCCAGCUUGGCUCCACCA